UGAGUAAUACAUCGGAACGUGUCCUGUAGUGGGGGAUAGCCCGGCGAAAGCCGGAUUAAUACCGCAUACGCUCUACGGAGGAAAGGGGGGGAUCUUAGGACCUCCCGCUACAGGGGCGGCCGAUGGCAGAUUAGCUAGUUGGUGGGGUAAAGGCCUACCAAGGCGACGAUCUGUAGCUGGUCUGAGAGGACGACCAGCCACACUGGGACUGAGACACGGCCCAGACUCCUACGGGAGGCAGCAGUGGGGAAUUUUGGACAAUGGGGGCAACCCUGAUCCAGCAAUGCCGCGUGUGUGAAGAAGGCCUUCGGGUUGUAAAGCACUUUUGUCCGGAAAGAAAACGCCGUGGUUAAUACCCGUGGCGGAUGACGGUACCGGAAGAAUAAGCACCGGCUAACUACGUGCCAGCAGCCGCGGUAAU
RNAcentral lists this ribosomal RNA (421 nucleotides) under Burkholderia sp. Z4_31_4. RNAcentral's name for it is "bacterial SSU rRNA". It matches the Rfam family "Bacterial small subunit ribosomal RNA", at positions 107 to 524 of the family's 1533-position model. The record is from RNAcentral. Lineage: Bacteria; Pseudomonadati; Pseudomonadota; Betaproteobacteria; Burkholderiales; Burkholderiaceae.